RNAcentral lists this ribosomal RNA (422 nucleotides) under Streptococcus constellatus. RNAcentral's name for it is "bacterial SSU rRNA". It matches the Rfam family "Bacterial small subunit ribosomal RNA", at positions 28 to 433 of the family's 1533-position model. Lineage: Bacteria; Bacillati; Bacillota; Bacilli; Lactobacillales; Streptococcaceae. The record is from RNAcentral.
GACGAACGCUGGCGGCGUGCCUAAUACAUGCAAGUAGAACGCACAGGAUGCACCGUAGUUUACUACACCGUAUUCUGUGAGUUGCGAACGGGUGAGUAACGCGUAGGUAACCUGCCUGGUAGCGGGGGAUAACUAUUGGAAACGAUAGCUAAUACCGUAUAAGAACAUUUACUGCAUGGUAGAUGUUUAAAAGGUGCAAGAGCAUCACUACCAGAUGGACCUGCGUUGUAUUAGCUAGUUGGUGAGGUAACGGCUCACCAAGGCAACGAUACAUAGCCGACCUGAGAGGGUGAUCGGCCACACUGGGACUGAGACACGGCCCAGACUCCCACGGGAGGCAGCAGUAGGGAAUCUUCGGCAAUGGGGGGAACCCUGACCGAGCAACGCCGCGUGAGUGAAGAAGGUUUUCGGAUCGUAAACGC